Passer domesticus (house sparrow) is the source of this 390-nucleotide long non-coding RNA. RefSeq lists it as uncharacterized. The record is from RefSeq and is a predicted model, not a curated record. NCBI's taxonomy places the organism in Eukaryota, Metazoa, Chordata, Aves, Passeriformes, Passeridae. The transcript is spliced from 3 exons.
AGGAGCACACAGGCAGCAUGUUGGUAGAAAGGACAAAGAGAGAGAAGACUGUUUUAAUUACUUACAUUUUAUAAAUGUAUAUGUAUAUGCUCCCAUGCAUAAGAGCAAUUAGCUCUCGAAGAUCAGAUGUCCGCAGAAGAGUACAGAUUGGAGCAGUUGAGGUUCUGGUUCCCCAAGUUUGCAGGACACACAAUAUAAGACAUGGUGAAGGUUAUGUAUCAAAAGGAAUCAAGGGUAAAAGUUGUCUGCAUCCAGGUCAGAAGUUAGGACCACUCAAUGCAUGGCUGUGUACCAGGGUGUUAGCUCUGCCUUUGCUUCCAGGAAAAGAGAAUACUAGUCAAGCUAUGAGCUUGUGCUCACACAGCUGUGAGACUGAUGGGCAGGAGUUGG